RNAcentral lists this ribosomal RNA (40 nucleotides) under Crataegus douglasii. RNAcentral describes it as "partial 26S ribosomal RNA". Lineage: Eukaryota; Viridiplantae; Streptophyta; Magnoliopsida; Rosales; Rosaceae. The record is from RNAcentral.
CGACCCUAGGUCAGGCGGGGUUACCCGCUGAAUUUAAGCA